CCCCUUUUCAUCAGAAGGCAAAGCGCCUAUAUCAGCCUUGCCGGACAUCUGUCCGGCUAUGGCGAUAAAUGGUCGGUGUAAUAAGCCUAUUGGACCCGGGGGCGGUACCCGGCGCCUCCACCAAAAACCGGUUGGUCUUCGGACCGGCUUUUGAUGGGGGCGAAAUAGGAUCGACAAGGGUGUAAAGAUCGUACUUUUGCUCGGCAUGAUACCGCCGUUAUCGGGUCAAAAAGUGUAGUUGCAAACGACAACAACGCUAAGGGUUAUGCUCUCGCUGCCUAAUGGCGGUGCGGGAAAUCCGAACUAAGUCCUUAGGGUUAGCCCCUUAAGGCGGGGUCCGAAGGCACCUGGCAACAGAAGCCUUCACC
This 368-nucleotide transfer-messenger RNA is filed under the name Rhizobium deserti. RNAcentral describes it as "Alphaproteobacteria transfer-messenger RNA". It matches the Rfam family "Alphaproteobacteria transfer-messenger RNA". From Rfam's summary of the family: Bacterial tmRNA, also known as 10Sa RNA or SsrA, is named for its dual tRNA and mRNA-like properties. Its role is to liberate the mRNA from a stalled ribosome. Lineage: Bacteria; Pseudomonadati; Pseudomonadota; Alphaproteobacteria; Hyphomicrobiales; Rhizobiaceae. The record is from Rfam by way of RNAcentral.